Molecule: long non-coding RNA, 435 nt
Organism: Pezoporus occidentalis (night parrot)
Lineage: Eukaryota; Metazoa; Chordata; Aves; Psittaciformes; Psittacidae
Exons: 4
Source: RefSeq, a predicted model, not a curated record
CUCCUGUCUGUAAAAGAACUGACUGCAUCCAACGCCUCUGAACGGUUGCACAGGACCAGAAGUUAUAUAAAACAGCUGGACUAAAAUACAACAUUCUGUUCAGUAGACUGAAUGGCCUGCAGCACAAUUCCAGGGCAUUCUGAUGAUUCCUGCUGCCCACACCCUCACCGUAAACUGUGCUAGAAAUUAUUACUACCACAAAAAUCCUACAAAGACUCAAACCUCAAGUACUCAAAGGAACUCUGCUGCACAAGAGACUUCUGUAAGGAAUCAAGCACUACACUCAUGUGCCAACUCUUGCCCACCAGAACAGACACCAAACCCCACACCACAGUUCUGCAACGUCAUACUCAUACAUUAUUUUGCUAUUGCACAUUCUUGUAUUAUUAUACUCAGGGAAAGGCAUGUUCAGAAUCCUUGUUUCCUUUUUUCCUC